This 468-nucleotide ribosomal RNA is filed under the name uncultured bacterium. RNAcentral's name for it is "partial 16S ribosomal RNA". It matches the Rfam family "Bacterial small subunit ribosomal RNA", at positions 28 to 507 of the family's 1533-position model. The record is from RNAcentral.
GACGAACGCUGGCGGCGUGCUUAACACAUGCAAGUCGAACGGAAAGGCCCUGCUUUUGUGGGGUGCUCGAGUGGCGAACGGGUGAGUAACACGUGAGUAACCUGCCCUUGACUUUGGGAUAACUUCAGGAAACUGGGGCUAAUACCGGAUAGGAGCUCCUGCUGCAUGGUGGGGGUUGGAAAGUUUCGGCGGUUGGGGAUGGACUCGCGGCUUAUCAGCUUGUUGGUGGGGUAGUGGCUUACCAAGGCUUUGACGGGUAGCCGGCCUGAGAGGGUGACCGGCCUCGUUGGGUCUGAGAUGAGGCCCAGACUGUUACGGGGGGCAGCAGGGGGGAGCAUUGCGCAAUGGGCCGAAGCCUGAUGAAUCAACGCGGCGUGCGGAAUGACGGCCUUCGGGUUGUAAACCGCUUUCGCCUGUGACGACGCGUGAGUGACGGUAAUGGGUAAAGAAGCACCGGCUAACUACGUG